UAAGAACGAGAGCAACUCAGAACC
RNAcentral lists this microRNA (24 nucleotides) under Triops cancriformis. Its description in RNAcentral is "tcf-miR-10324". Lineage: Eukaryota; Metazoa; Arthropoda; Branchiopoda; Notostraca; Triopsidae. The record is from miRBase by way of RNAcentral.